This 228-nucleotide ribosomal RNA is filed under the name uncultured bacterium. Its description in RNAcentral is "partial 16S ribosomal RNA". It matches the Rfam family "Bacterial small subunit ribosomal RNA", at positions 118 to 346 of the family's 1533-position model. The record is from RNAcentral.
UGAGCAAUCUGCCCUUCUCAUCGGAAUAAGCGUUGGAAACGACGUCUAAUGCCGAAUACGACCUCCUUUCGCAUGAUCGGAGGUGGAAAGCUCCGGCGGAGAAGGAUGAGCUCGCGGCCUAUCAGCUAGUUGGUGUGGGUAAUGGCCCACCAAGGCGACGACGGGUAGCCGACCUGAGAGGGUGAUCGGCCACACUGGGACUGAGACACGGCCCAGACUCCGUAGGNG